GGACUGUGGCUAAUCUGCAUAUGCACAUUAGCUCUAUUACCUAUUAGCGUACAAAAAGGGCCUGGAAGUAGGAAAAGAACUACAUUUCCCAUCUGCCCUGGCUGUCACAGGCUAAUAGCACCAGCUGCUUUCCAUUGCCCUAAGGAGUGAUUCUACUGCGGCAACGAGACCAAAUACAACGAGAGAUUCUUACUGAGGUGCUGUUUUCCACAUGCAGUGCUUGGCUGUGUUGGAGGCCACCAAGAAAGACUUCCUGGCUGUCAUGUGGAAGCUAAGUGGGCUGGGGUCAAAAGGGUUUCUGGCCAUGGUGCUUGUGCUGCAGUGAUCUUGUUCUCCAUCACACUCCAACACAGGUAGCCAUCUUCACCCUCUCCCAAGAGGUGAUGGUACGACUCUGAAUAAACACUCUAUUAUUAUAAAUAAAGUGUGACUGUGUCUUGUAGUCCACCCACCAACCUUUUUCUGUUCAGUGGUUUGACUUGUGCUACACAGAGAUGGACCAGCAAACAGAUUUAAAGGCUGUUGUGAAUGAUGGGUUACAGAAAUGUCUUCCUGUGUUUAUUAUUAUUUGAAGUUAUAUAUUCUGAUUUGUAAGCAAGAUUAUGAAGUCUCCUUUUGCUAAUCAUUUUACAGCAUUAUUAAAAAGUCCAUGUACACAAUGUU
Molecule: long non-coding RNA, 663 nt
Organism: Ictalurus punctatus (channel catfish)
Lineage: Eukaryota; Metazoa; Chordata; Actinopteri; Siluriformes; Ictaluridae
Source: Ensembl